GGCAAAUCUGUGGUAGCGGUUUUUUAAAAACGUCACAGCGUCCCUUGCGUGUGGGUGUGUGACCACUGAUGUAUGUAUGUGUGACAGAGGAAGAUGGCAGCGAAAAGAGAGAAUGAUUGUGAAAUCAGAAAAUGGUUUGUUAUUGUCUAAAAGAGUAAUCUAUGCGACAAAGUAUAAUUUUUUUUAGGCGAUCUUGUUUGCGUUCGUGGGUAGUUUUUUUGUAAUAUUGGCUCCAUUUGUACAGUACACCCUGGUUGACUGACAGUGGAUUUGCCCGUAUAGCCACCGUUAGCAUUUUGGCUAGCUAGCAAGCUAAGUUGUUUCUUGGAAAUCACUGCUCCACAGCAGCUUGCCAUUUUCGGAGGGUGAAAGUACUGCAAACGUACCCGUGGUGGUUGACUUUCAGUCUUUGGAGAGCAGUUGGGGCUAAGGAAGACUAAGCCAAUCGCUGCUGGUUGGUGACUUCCUUGAAAAGCCAGCGUUGGACUGGAGCAGCCAGCUAAGGGCCAUGAGCCAGGGCUUCCUCCUCCCUCUGUGGACCAGAGCCAAAAUGGAGGUUUAGCCCAGACAGACGCUGAGCAAGUGUUCAGUGCUGCGGGUCCUCUGCCUAGGCAUGGAGUGGCGUUGGCUGCAGACUGGAUGACAGGGUCUUCAGGGAGAGCCGAGGCGCGUCCCCCUGCACAGACACCCAACUCCCUAACUGACCACCGCUGACCCGUCACCACGGUGACUGACACCGAAGUACAGCCUCACCCCUGCAACCACAGCAGAAUCCCCCCCCCCUUUUCCUCAUCCCCCUCUAUCUGGACUCUCCUUACCCCCUCCUCCUUUCCUGACCCCUCCCCUUCCUCCUCCUUUCCUGACCCCUCCCCUUCCUCCUCCUUUCCUGACCCCCCCCCCCUUCCUCCUCCUUUCCUGACC
Long non-coding RNA from Salvelinus fontinalis (brook trout), 921 nucleotides. RefSeq lists it as uncharacterized. The transcript has 3 exons. The record is from RefSeq and is a predicted model, not a curated record. NCBI's taxonomy places the organism in Eukaryota, Metazoa, Chordata, Actinopteri, Salmoniformes, Salmonidae.